GACGAACGCUGGCGGCGUGCUUAACACAUGCAAGUCGAACGAAAAGAGGGAAAGAGCUUGCUCUUUCCGGAAUUGAGUGGCAAACGGGUGAGUAACACGUAAACAACCUGCCUUCAGGAUGGGGACAACAGACGGAAACGACUGCUAAUACCGAAUAAGUUCCAAGGGCCGCAUGGCCCAUGGAAGAAAAGGUGGCCUCUACCUGUAAGCUAUCGCCUGAAGAGGGGUUUGCGUCUGAUUAGCUGGUUGGAGGGGUAACGGCCCACCAAGGCGACGAUCAGGAGCCGGUCUGGGGGGGUGGACGGCCACACUGGAACUGGGACACGGUCCAGAAUCCUACGGGAGGCAGCAGUGGGGAAUCUUCCGCAAUGGGCGAAAGCCUGACGGAGCAACGCCGCGUGAGGGAUGACGGCCUUCGGGUUGUAAAACUCUGUGAUCCGGGACGAAAAGGCAGAGUGCGAAGAACAAACUGCAUUGACGGUACCGGAAAAGCAAGCCACGGCUAACUACGUG
RNAcentral lists this ribosomal RNA (513 nucleotides) under uncultured bacterium. RNAcentral's name for it is "partial 16S ribosomal RNA". It matches the Rfam family "Bacterial small subunit ribosomal RNA", at positions 28 to 507 of the family's 1533-position model. The record is from RNAcentral.